This 2700-nucleotide long non-coding RNA is filed under the name Chrysemys picta bellii (western painted turtle). RNAcentral's name for it is "lncRNA (ENSCPBG00000015572.1)". The record is from RNAcentral. Lineage: Eukaryota; Metazoa; Chordata; Testudines; Emydidae.
GUUCCGAGUUGGUGUUUUUAAUUUUGUACUUUAAUUUAAUUUAAUUUUUUAAAAAGCUUAUUCUGGUCUGAUCUGCAUGAGAAACUAUCAUCUUUUCAAUAAUAUACUAUGUCAUUUUAUGAAGACAACAAAGCAAAAAAAAAUGUCAUGCCAUUCUAAGAAUGACCCAUUGUACAUUUUAAUGCCAUUUUUCACUGUAUUGGUGAACCGUACAUCCGCCUUGGCCGUCAUUCCGCUCUUGCCUCUUGAUGUCACCCUCCUCCCUUCCCCCGCGCAGCCGGGGGCGGGGGGCUGGGGGAGGGGCGCGGGGGGGCUGGGGGAGGACCUUCCAGAGCAGGGCCCUCAGCGCACCAGCCCCGGAUGCAUGACUUCAUUCUUCCGCCUGGGUUUCCUUUAUGAUGUAGGGCUGCCCCAGCCCCUGUGCACAGACACCUCGGCAGGCUGCAGCGCUCCGCACUCCCUCGCCAGCCCGCUCGCCCGCCCGCCCGGCUCCUUCCCCCGGCACCGCCGCUGGAUCGCGCUCUCCGGCCGCCCCGCAGGACCCGAGAGCUGCCAGUAUGUCCGAGAUCCUCCCCUACAGCGAGGAGAAGGUGGCCCACUUCGGCACCGACUCCGAAGUCAGCGAGAUCUCCUUCAGCUGCCGGCUCCAGGACACCAACUCCUUCUUCGGGGGCAACCAGGCCAAGCGGCCCCCCAAGCUGGGGCAGAUCGGCAGGGCCAAGAGAGUGGUGAUCGAAGAUGAUAGAAUAGACGAGGUGCUGAAGGGGAUGACAGACAAGUCGCCUUCUGGGGUAUAAGCUGGCAGAGGAGGCGCCUGCACUGAGCUGCAGACUCUGAUCACUGAUUUUAAGCACUUUUGGCCGUGCAUGUUUGUUGGACUGUGGUCAACGAGGAAAGCAAAGGAAGGAGAUGAGGCUGCUGGCGACACCUUCCACCCCCAACCCAGACCCCAGCCCGAGGCGGUAACGGAUGGGGCCAUCUCACCCUCCUCAGCAUCCAACCGAGAGCAAUGGGACAAAGGGAUUUGGCCAUCCAUCCCUGUCCAGAUUUCCAGGGCGCCAUGCCCACCCCGGAGAUGUCCAUGUUUGUCAGCACCACCUCCUGCCCUCACAACCCCCCUCCCUGCAGAAUGGGGGAGCCGGCUGCUGAGGCGCUAUCCAGGGCCAGCGCCACUUCCAGCGCGCUCCCGGGGAGCUGUCCAUUCCAGCGCCACUUCCAGCGCGCUCCCGGGGAGCUGUCCAUUCCAGCGCGCUCCCGGGGAGCUGUCCAUUCCAGCGCCACUUCCAGCGCGCUCCCGGGGAACUGUCCAUUCCAGCGCCACUUCCAGCGCCCUCCCGGGGAGCUGUCCAUUCCAGCGCCACUUCCAGCGCGCUCCCGGGGAACUGUCCAUUCCAGCGCCUCUUCCAGCGCCCUCCCGGGGAACUGUCCAUUCCAGCGCCACUUCCAGUGUCUUCCCGGGGAGCUGUCCACUCCAGCACCCACCCUGGGAGCUGUUCAUUCCAGCGCCACUUCCAGGGAGCUGUCCACUCCAGCACCCUCUCCUCUCCCAUUCCUCUCUCCCCAGCCCCACUGAGCUCCCCCUUUCGCCAUGCCACGUUGCCGAGGUGCUGUUCCCCUGAGAGCGCGGAGCCCUUGGGAUCGCCUAGCGUUCUCAUCUCGAAGAGGGCUCCUGUAGCGAUGCACUUUACCCCUUUCUCUGUCUCUCUCCGAGUGGCUGUGUAUCUAACCCCUGCAUAGACACACACCUCUCCAGCUGUAGCAAGCUCAUUGUGUGUGCAAUCACCCCCCUUCUGUAUUUCAGACCCACACCCAUUCUCUAACGCAUCCAUCCAUCCCCACUCCUCAUCCCUAUCCAGUUUGCAAAAUACCAGCAGAUCGGAAGCAAAUCAAAAGCCAGCAGUGCUGAAUGGAAGGCAGAGGUUCCGACUCGGAUGGACUAUAAUAUAAAAGACAGUGAUCAUUUUGCUGUCGAGAGACAUUUUUGCUCCAUCUUUUUUGCAUGAGCUUCCUGGUCCUGGUGCCACAUCUUGGUGCCACUGGUCAUCCCACUAUGGCACGCUUCUUUUUAACAGAACUCCUCAUAUUUGUAUUUUUAUAUCCGAAUCUUUGUUAAAAAUGAUCUGCUAAUGUCUAAUGUUGAAAUAUUGCAUCAAAGAUUGUUCAUAUUUUUUCCAUACGAAAGAAAAAAAAGUGUAUAGAAUGGAAUUUAAAUGGUUGGUUCUCUUAAUUCUAUAUAUCAGUAUUGGACAGGACUUCUUGAAUGUGGUUAGGGUUUUGCACACCUCAAAACAUCAGUAAACAAAACAAAUGUAUCUAAGAAUCUUAUACUGUGAUUAAUGGCUUUAUUGACGGACCAUGCAGAAACAUAAUGACUUUAGAAGAUCUUAUUGCACUGGUUACGAAUGUGCUUGGAUAACUCGCUGGUUAUUUGACGCCUCUUUCUUGGGGGAUGUUCCGAGUUGGUGUUUUUAAUUUUGUACUUUAAUUUAAUUUAAUUUUUUAAAAAGCUUAUUCUGGUCUGAUCUGCAUGAGAAACUAUCAUCUUUUCAAUAAUAUACUAUGUCAUUUUAUGAAGACAACAAAGCAAAAAAAAUGUCAUGCCAUUCUAAGAAUGACCCAUUGUACAUUUUAAUGCCAUUUUUCACUGUAUUGGUGAACAAAACUCAAUGAAUAAAUACAUACAUGUACCAAAUGGAGGCA